RNAcentral lists this ribosomal RNA (234 nucleotides) under uncultured bacterium. Its description in RNAcentral is "partial 16S ribosomal RNA". It matches the Rfam family "Bacterial small subunit ribosomal RNA", at positions 118 to 348 of the family's 1533-position model. The record is from RNAcentral.
UGAGGAACAUGACCUUCGGCGGGGGAUAGCCGGCCCAACGGCCGGGUAAUACCGCGUACGACCACAUGGGGACAUCCCUGAGUGGUGAAAGCAGCAAUGCGCCGAUGGAGUGCCUCGCGGCCUAUCAGCUAGUUGGUGAGGUAACGGCUCACCAAGGCGACGACGGGUAGCUGGUCUGAGAGGGCGACCGGCCACACUGGGACUGAGACACCGGCCCAGACUCCGUACGGGAGG